UCGAUUUUAAUGCAUGGCUCUGUUAGGAAGGCACUCCAUGACCUUUAAUAAAAACAAUACCAUGACCCGUGACUCCUCUGACCAGGGAGAGACUAAUGUAACAGUCUUUUUGCUUCCCUGACUAUACAAUGAGUUACAAUCCAUAUUUAUUUAAAGGGAUGUUAGUAUGUUAAUCUGGACUAAUGACAAUGAAAUGAAUAUAGAAACGUAAUACUGUCUAAUAAAAAAAAUAUAAGAUAACCUAUGACUCCGAUGAUUGUGCUUCACUGACUAUACAAUGAGUUACAAUCUAUAACUAUUUAUUUAAAGGGAUGUUAGUAUGUUAAUCUGGACUAAUGACAAUGAAAUGAAUAUAGAAACGUAAUACAGUUUAAUAAAAGAAUAUAAGAUAACCUAUGACUCCAAUGAUUGUACUUUUCUGACUAUGCAACGAGUUAUAACCCAUUACUAUUUAUUUAAAGGGAUGUAUGUGGCUUAAUCUGGGCUUAUAACAGUAAAAUGACAAGUUUGAGGCGUAAUAAAGAUAGAAACUCUGCUGAUCAAGGAAAUAAAAUGAAAGCAAUUAAGUAAUAAUCUCCUUGCUAUUGGCUAUGGAACAAGUUAAAAUCUGUUACUAUUAAUAUGAGAGGGUGGCAUAUAGAAGUAAUGAUAAAGAAAUGUAUUGAUAAACAGGUAAUAAACAUAAAUGAAUACUAUAAACUUAAAUACAAGAGCUGUCACUGUCAUGAAAUAUAGGAGGAUUUUGGAUUAAUAUCAUGAUGAACUUUGAAGAUAAUCUCUGGACAUUAUAACAUUUGAAUAAAAAAACUAGAAAUGUAGUAAUAAUAUAUGCUACACCUUUUAACAAGUGUACUUAGGGAAGAUAUAUUAAAGCUGUCCCUAAAUAUCUGUCAUAGCAAUAAGAGAAGUCUGAGAUUUGAUGAAUUAGUUCAGAAAUACUCUCAAUCUGUACAUUGCAAUACCAAACUGAUGUAACAUAUAACACUUUCACCAAUAAAAAAAAUAAUAAUAAUGAAGAAAAUUCUGAAAUAAGGAGAAUAUUGGAUUAAUCUCAAUAUGAAUCAGAAAAUCAUCUCUGUAUAUACAUUACUAGACCAAGGUAAUGUACCUAAUAGCACUCUUACCAUAAUAAUAAAUAAUAAUAAUAAUAAUAAUAAUGAUAAUAAUAGUAGUAGUAGUGGUAGUAGUAGUAGUAGUAGUAGUAGUAGUAGUUUUUUUUUGUUUUUUUUACAACAAAGGAGAUGGCUCAAGGGCACUAAAAAAGGAAACAAUAAAAAAAAAGUGCCCGCUACUCGCUGCUCCUACAAAAAUGAAUCAAAAGAAGUGGCCAAAAGAUGCUUAUGGUGGUAAAAGAAGUAGUAGUAGUAUUAGUAGUAGUAGUAGUAGUAGUAGUGGUAGUAGUACACUGUCCACUACUAACACAAAAUAAGGUUACCACAUCAAACUACCACCCUUGCAGGAAGAGGCUCAUUAACCAAGAUUUAUUGAGAAAGUAACAAACCAAUGGAGGCUUAUACUAGUAGGCUGAGUCUGAAGAACCUUAUAUACAUAAUCAUCUGUGACAUGGUGGCUUAAGACAGUGGAUUCAGUUCAUUAGGAGUCACAAAGUAUAUUCUCUUCCAUUCCUCUAUUGCAAUGACAGAAAAUUUGUCAGUCGUACACACACAAAAUAAAAUAAUAAUAAUGAUAAAUUUGACCUGGUUUUAGUUCACUGACAAACUUAUGGUGGCUAUAUAUAGGUCACUAAAAUAUAUGUCUUACCUUCUCUCAAAUUCAAGAUGCCAUUCAGGACAUAAACAACUUUCAGCAAAUAUUUUCCUCUAAACAUCAAUGUAGAAAAUUCUCCUAACUUAGUCUGAGGAGAGCUUACAAAACACUAAGGUAGGUCUUACUUUCUCACAAAUUCAAGAUGCUUUUUUCAGGACACAAACAACAUUUUCUUAUCAAAUAUUUACCUCUGUGUCAAAUACCUCGGUAAAAAAUCAGUAUAAAAUGAUUCUCCUAACUCAGUCUGAAGAGAGAUUACAAAACACUAAAGUAGGUCUUACUUUCUCACAAAAUCAAGAUGUUUUUUUCAGGACAUAAACAACUUUUUCUCAUCAAAUAUUUACCUCUGUGUCAAAUACCUCGGUAAAUAUCGGUAUAAAAUGAUUCUCCUAACUCAGUCUGAAGAGAGAUUACAAAACACUUAAGUAGAAGGUCUUACUUUCUCACAAAUUUAGGAUGUAAACAACUUUCUCUCAUCAAAUAUUUACCUGAGUGUCAAUUACCUUGGUAAAUAUCGGUAUAAAAUGAUUCUCCUAACUCAGUCUGAAGAGAGAUUACAGAACACAAGCCCCAAAAUCCCUUCAAAUUAAGCCACAGUGCAAUAAUAUACCACACAUCCAUAGCCCCAUAAAGUAAAGCAGUUGUAAGCAUGAAAAAGCAAAAUAAAGAGAAAGACUAUGCCAUUGGAAUGUUUAAAAUCAGGUCAUGGAGGGAAAACUAAAGAUGAAUAUGAAUAUGAUUAUGAUUACGAUGACCUCCUCUAGCCUGGGAUAUGAAUGGUAAUGAUGAUGAUAAUAUGUACUAACCCUCUUCUAAGUGACCUAUAUAGUAUUCAGACCUAUAUAGUGCUCAUUCAAACCUAAACUCUGAUUGUCAAAAGGGAUCAGGGAAACAGAAAAGGCAAGGGGUAAUAUGCGCCUUGUCAAAGAUGCUGCCAAGGAAAUUAACACACAUACCCUCUUGCUAUAUAUUCUUUCAACAUAUCCUGCACUCUAACAUUCCAUAUACUCUUUCACCAUGUCCUAUACUCUACCAUUUCACAAGGAGCAAGACAAGGGGUGAUAUGCGCCUUAUCAAAGAUGCUGCCAAGGAUACUAACGCACAUAUCCUCUUGCCAUAGACUUUUUUAACAUGUCCUAUACGAUAUCAUGUUCCAUGCCCCACCAUUUCCUAGGAGCUCUGAUCAAGAUAUGAGAGUACAUUUAACUUACAAAAAACAUGGCUGUGACUCUACAAUAUAAAGCUGAAUGUCUUUAAUUUAAGGCAGCAUCCCUUUCCAAACUGCAUCCCAAAACCCAUCAUUUUUGUGGCCUCUCAAAAGUUACUGUGCAGGGAAGUGGAGGUGAUGGGUUCUAUGAUAUGGAUGACGUGAAUGUCCGAAGCUAACAUGAGGGGGAUCUAAGCACUGGUAAACCAAGUAAAUACAUAAGGUAACUGCAUCCCGAAACCCAUCAUUUUUGUGGCCUAUCAAAAGUUACUGUGCAAGGAAGUGGAGGUGAUCUGUUCUAUGAUAUGGAUGAUGUGAAUGUCUGAAGCUAACGUGAGGGAUGUAAGCGCUGGUAAACUAAGUAAAUUAAUAAGUAUGUAAGGUAACAGGGUAAUAAUCUGGCUGGGGAUAAAUGCACUAAGGGAAGAACUAUUCACUGCACUCUUCAAUGACUUUCUAUACAAUCUGCUUCCUUCUCCAGAGCCAUAAAUCUGGUAAAUAUGAAGAAUAACACCUCUGCCCCUCUCUCUCUCUCUCUCUCUCUCUUGAAUCUGGUGUAUAUGAAGGAAAACUAAGGGAAGAACUAUUGACUGCACCCUUCAAAACACUUCCUAUACAAUCCACCUCCUUCUCAUUAGCCAUAAAACUGGUAAAUAUGAAGAAUAACACCUCUGUCUUCCACCCCCCCAUGAAACUGGUAAAAAUGUAGAAUAACACCGCUCCCCUUCAGACAGAUGCCUUGUACAAUGUUAGUUACGCAUUCUUAAAAACACUUUCUCCCCCUCUUUCUACAGACCCAUAAAACAGGUAAAUAUGUAGAAUAACACCCCCUCCUUCCACACAGAUGCUUAGUACAAUGUUAGUUACGCACUCUUAAAAACACUUCCUCCGUCUCCUUCUACAGAUCCAUAAAACUGGUAAAUAUGUAGAUUAACACCUCCUUCCUUCACACAGAUGCUUAGUACAAUGUUAGUUACGCACUCUUAAAAACACUUCCUCCCCCUCCUUCUACAGACCCAUAAAACUGGUAAAUAUGUAGAUUAACACUCCCUCCCUCACACAGAUGCCUGGUACAAUGUUAGUUACACACUCUUAAAAACACUUCCUCCCCCUCUUUCUACAGACCCAUAAAACUGGUAAAUAUGUAGAUUAACACUGCCCCCCCUCCCCUCCACUGCACACAGAUGCCUCAUACAAUGUUAGCAAUGCAUAGUUCCCAUUGGUCACCUCAAAUGAUAGGGUGCAGAGCCUCACUUCAGCUUGAAACAAAUGCGUAAGAUAAAGCUUUUUCUCAUACUAACACGUCUCCUACACGCUAAGUAACUCUUUGGCAAAUAGUUCUUAAAAAUAUAACCGGAACAAUAUAUAAAUUCUGAGCUAUUUACAACAUAACAUCUAGUUCUGACCUUCCUCCUUCCUGCAUGUUGAUUUUUUUUUAGAAAGUCAUGAUGGUAUAGAUAGUAAUAGGCUACAUAUAAAGGCAAUACAUAGCAGCUUAUAUAUACAAAAUCCACAUUACCCAAGUUAGAAGUAGUAUUUCCCGAUUGGAUAAGAGAGUCGAUUGAUCAAAAAUAUACGCACAUUUGUGGGAUAACGAGGUGCCGGCCGUGAAUAUGGUGACUUUAUAAAAAAUCAUUGUGUCGUCCAUAUUUACGACCACUGCAGCAAUGACUGAAAACUCAAAUUCUGACGUAGUGAAAUCGGAUUGACGAGAUGGAAUUUGUAUUGGUUUCCACGGGUCGUUUCCUCCCUGACGCUCUGCCAUACAGUUCCAACACCCAUCUCUAUCCUCUCAUAUGUAACCUAUAGCUAACAUACGAGAGGAAAAGAUAUUGGAACUGUGUAGCAGAGAGGCAGGGAGGAAAGGACCUGCGGAAACCAGUGCAAAAAUUAUCUCUCGGUAAUCUGGGUUUCACUACAGUAGUUGAUAGGCAAAUGUAGUUAUGUAUGUACACUUCAAAGGUAUAUAAAUCAGAGCAUGUAUAUAGUAGCUUAUAAAAACGGCACAUCCAUAAUAUUUUGCAUUUGAUUUGACGUGAACUCCCGAAUAUCUUGUUUUUUUUAGCUUAACUGACAGUGAACUACAGCGGACUAUCUUUGAACAUUGCAGCAGGCGCGUGUACUAACCCACCUCAGGUCCUGCACUGCUUUUUAUGUAGCAGACACACACACACACACACACAUAUAUGCACCCAUCCAGCCACACACCACCCGUACUCACCUACCCAUCCACACACACACACACACACAUCCACCACUGGUCUCUAAUAUAAGUGGAUUGGUUAACUAUAUUAGAGAUCAGCGACAUCCACAUACACCCCCCCACACACACACACUUGUCCACAUACCCCCACACACACACCCACACUCACACCCACACACAUGGAUUCCAACAUCGCACUGCAUAUAAGAAGUAGUAUAUUACGAACUCAUGAAAUCAUCAACUAGAUAAAUUAAUACAUACAAAAGUGAAUAGGAUCCAAUCACUUUUCCAACACAUAAUACCUUUAGUUGUUUGUAAAAUAAUCUCAUGUUAACUUAAAACUAAAAAAAAAAACCAUGAUCAUUCUAUUUGAAAGUGCAUUUGCCCUAAAAACUAAGCAUUAAGUAGUGAGAAAGAUGCUCAUAAAAAUAGUUAAUAUGAAAAUAAAGUUAAUAUAUAAAUAAAAUAAAUAACAAAAAGAGGUAUUAAACAUAUCUAUAGUAAAAUGAUAAAGCUGGGGGCAUUACCAUGAUUUUAAUAUUAUGCUGCUUUUGAUAAUGAUGAUAAUAAUAAUGAUAAUAAGAGUAGACACCUGCACCACCAAGGUUACUACGUAUUUCUGAAUAAUCCAAAACUUCUACAAUAAAACAGAGAGACAUAAAUCGGAAGAAUACAUGUAAUAAAACGACAUACCACUUGCAAAAACAGUGGCUUGGAUCUUCUAAUAAAAGCAGAAUACACAAAACUGGUUCUGGCAUCUACAAAUUAAGUAAUGUUACGUAUAUUGAAACAGCAAAAAGCACAGAUACGUAUAAAAAAAGAAUACAAAAACUAUCUCGCCGUAACCUCAAAGCAACAUCCCAUACGCCACUCGCCCGCUAACGACAGCACCGGCUCAGCUACGUAACUCCUAAGUCUUCUCCUAAGUUAACCGUUCCUGAUAUAAGAGUACUCUGGAGCAAGCAUUAAGUAGCGACCCGGGGCUGGACACAUCAAACCACUUACAAGACUCGUCAUUAGUAAGUCUUCCGGUAAACCUGUCCACUGUGAAUGCUCCUUGUGUUUAAGUGACUCCGAUGGCGAUGACUGAAGUGAAUAGAUGGUUUUGUCUCAGUAAACUCGACUAGCAAAUGUGUUCUUGCGCCAUAUACUCUUUCAACAUGUUUCAUACUAGGCUUCAGCUCUUUAACCCAGUAGCAGCAACGGGCCAAAUUUGUGGCUUUACCAUGUACCAGCGACGGGCCAAAUUUUUGCCAUGAUAUAAACCCCCCAAAAAUAGAUGAUGCAAAAACUGAUCACAAAUGCGUUGAUAUACAUUAUGAAAUGGUUUACAUGAGUGAUGAUUUUUUUCUCAUUUUUCUCACUUAGAGGGGCCUUUAAGAAACAUGAUCCCUGCUGCUACCCGGUUAAGAUGCUAAUAUACACCUAACUCAUUACUCAUUCAUCGCCGGAGCUGCCUAGAGAUCAUGAGCGUUUGUAGUGGACCGAGUUACCAGAAGACUUACCAGUGAGAGGUCUUGUAAAUGGUUUGAUGAUUUUGCCCUCUGAACGUGGCCCACCAAGCCAAACACAAGCAGCCGGAAAUCAUCGCAAGCUUUGAUUUACACCCGUUCCCUCCCUCCCUCACUUGGUAGCUAAUAUUGCUAGGCUAAGACACAGGCUGUUUUGCGUUUUUUGUGUGUAUUUUUCCCUUUAAGCUGCUUCCGUUGCUAUAAAAAUAAUGAUAAUAAAAAAUGACAUUGGGUGACUGGCUGCCAUCAUUCCUAGAACAUAGCUAAGACACAGGCUCUCUUAUUUCUUGUUCAUAUGCCUUUAAGCUAUUUCCGUUGCUAUAAAAAUAAUGAUGAUAAAAACAACACUGGCUGACUGGCUGCCAUCAUUACUAGAACA
Molecule: long non-coding RNA, 7067 nt
Organism: Eriocheir sinensis (Chinese mitten crab)
Lineage: Eukaryota; Metazoa; Arthropoda; Malacostraca; Decapoda; Varunidae
Exons: 2
Source: RefSeq, a predicted model, not a curated record